This is a non-coding RNA of Hypoxylon fuscum, 75 nucleotides long. The record is from the annotation of a GenBank genome assembly. NCBI's taxonomy places the organism in Eukaryota, Fungi, Ascomycota, Sordariomycetes, Xylariales, Hypoxylaceae.
GGUCCCAUAGCUCAGUUGGUUUAGAGCGUCGUACUAAUAAUGCGAAGGCCGAGAGUUCGAGCCUCUCUGGGACCA